This 290-nucleotide long non-coding RNA is filed under the name Sorghum bicolor (sorghum). RNAcentral's name for it is "long non-coding RNA (SBIC_LNC017292)". Lineage: Eukaryota; Viridiplantae; Streptophyta; Magnoliopsida; Poales; Poaceae. The record is from RNAcentral.
UCAGUUGCUAAAGGGAUUGCAGACUCAUGGAUCGAUUUAGAAUUUUGGUUUUCCAUAAGGUAAGAGUAAAGAAAAAUAAAUAAAGAAUAUAAAAGAUAAGAAAAGAUAAAAGUAUAGAUACAAGCUAAUAGCAAGACACAGGUUAUCUCAGCAACCGUCUUUCUCCCCGGCAACGGCGCCAGAAAUGCUUGUUGAUAUUUGGGAACGCAAUAAGGAAUUGAUCCGCAAGCGCACGGAUAUCGGUGAGCACUUCACCCGGGAAAUUAUCCAGAGUAUCGUAUUUAUUUUUU